RNAcentral lists this ribosomal RNA (382 nucleotides) under uncultured bacterium. RNAcentral's name for it is "bacterial SSU rRNA". It matches the Rfam family "Bacterial small subunit ribosomal RNA", at positions 335 to 704 of the family's 1533-position model. The record is from RNAcentral.
ACUCCUACGGGAGGCAGCAGUGGGGAAUAUCGCACAAGUAGGGCAACCUGAUGCAGCCAUGCCGCGUGUGUAGCAAGAAUGGGCCUUCGGGUUGAUAAAGCACUUUCAGUAGGGAGGAAGGUAGUGUAGUUAACACCUGCAUUAUUUGACGUUACCUACAGAAGAAGCACCGGCUAACUCCGUGCCAGCAGCCGCGGUAAUACGGAGGGUGCGAGCGUUAAUCGGAAUUACUGGGCGUAAAGCGCAUGCAGGCGGCCUGUUAAGUCAGAUGUGAAAGCCCGGGGCUUAACCUCGGAAUUGCAUUUGAAACUGGCAGGCUAGAGUCUUGUAGAGGGGGUGAGAAUUUUCAGGUGUAGCGGUGAAAUGCGUAGAGAUCUGAAGG